This 103-nucleotide ribosomal RNA is filed under the name Bacillus cereus. The record is from RNAcentral. Lineage: Bacteria; Bacillati; Bacillota; Bacilli; Caryophanales; Bacillaceae.
UGAUGGCAGAGAGGUCACACCCGUUCCCAUACCGAACACGGAAGUUAAGCUCUCUAGCGCCGAUGGUAGUUGGGACCUUGUCCCUGUGAGAGUAGGACGUCGC